GUGGGGAAUUUUGGACAAUGGGGGCAACCCUGAUCCAGCCAUUCCGCGUGAGUGAAGAAGGCCUUCGGGUUGUAAAGCUCUUUCGGCAGGAACGAAACGGUGAGCUCUAACAUAGCUCGCUAAUGACGGUACCUGAAGAAGAAGCACCGGCUAACUACGUGCCAGCAGCCGCGGUAAUACGUAGGGUGCGAGCGUUAAUCGGAAUUACUGGGCGUAAAGCGUGCGCAGGCGGUUGUGUAAGACAGGUGUGAAAUCCCCGGGCUUAACCUGGGAACUGCGCUUGUGACUGCACGGCUAGAGUAUGGCAGAGGGGGAUGGAAUUCCGCGUGUAGCAGUGAAAUGCGUAGAUAUGCGGAGGAACACCGAUGGCGAAGGCAAUCCCCUGGGCCUGCACUGACGCUCAUGCACGAAAGCGUGGGGAGCAAACAGGAUUAGAAACCCUGGUAGUCC
This 450-nucleotide ribosomal RNA is filed under the name uncultured bacterium. Its description in RNAcentral is "partial 16S ribosomal RNA". It matches the Rfam family "Bacterial small subunit ribosomal RNA", at positions 354 to 796 of the family's 1533-position model. The record is from RNAcentral.